This 445-nucleotide ribosomal RNA is filed under the name uncultured bacterium. Its description in RNAcentral is "SSU rRNA". It matches the Rfam family "Bacterial small subunit ribosomal RNA", at positions 26 to 518 of the family's 1533-position model. The record is from RNAcentral.
AGAAUGAACGCUGGCGGCAUGCCUAACACAUGCAAGUCGAACGAGACCUUCGGGUCUAGUGGCGCACGGGUGCGUAACGCGUGGGAAUCUGCCCUUGGGUUCGGAAUAACAGUGGGAAACUACUGCUAAUACCGGAUAAUGACGUAAGUCCAAAGAUUUAUCGCCCAGGGAUGAGCCCGCGUAAGAUUAGCUAGUUGGUGGGGUAAAGGCCUACCAAGGCGACGAUCUUUAGCUGGUCUGAGAGGAUGAUCAGCCACACUGGGACUGAGACACGGCCCAGACUCCUACGGGAGGCAGCAGUGGGAAUAUUGGACAAUGGGCGAAAGCCUGAUCCAGCAAUGCCGCGUGAGUGAUGAAGGCCUUAGGGUUGUAAAGCUCGUUUUACCCGGGAAGAUAAUGACUGUACCGGAGAAUAACGCCCGGCUAACUCCGCGUCAGCAGCCGC